RNAcentral lists this ribosomal RNA (516 nucleotides) under uncultured Actinomycetes bacterium. Its description in RNAcentral is "bacterial SSU rRNA". It matches the Rfam family "Bacterial small subunit ribosomal RNA", at positions 370 to 896 of the family's 1533-position model. The record is from RNAcentral. Lineage: Bacteria; Bacillati; Actinomycetota; Actinomycetes.
AAUGGGCGCAAGCCUGAUGCAGCGACGCCGCGUGAGGGAUGACGGCCUUCGGGUUGUAAACCUCUUUCAGCAGGGACGAAGCGCAAGUGACGGUACCUGUAGAAGAAGCACCGGCCAACUACGUGCCAGCAGCCGCGGUAAUACGUAGGGUGCGAGCGUUGUCCGGAAUUAUUGGGCGUAAAGGGCUCGUAGGCGGUUUGUCGCGUCGGGAGUGAAAACACCGGGCUUAACUCGGUGCUUGCUUUCGAUACGGGCAGACUAGAGGUAUGCGGGGGAGAACGGAAUUCCUGGUGUAGCGGUGAAAUGCGCAGAUAUCAGGAGGAACACCGGUGGCGAAGGCGGUUCUCUGGGCAUGACCUGACGCUGAGGAGCGAAAGUGUGGGGAGCGAACAGGAUUAGAUACCCUGGUAGUCCACACCGUAAACGUUGGGCGCUAGGUGUGGGGCCUAUUCCAUGGGUUCCGUGCCGCAGCUAACGCAUUAAGCGCCCCGCCUGGGGAGUACGGCCGCAAGGCUA